This is a long non-coding RNA of Perca fluviatilis (European perch), 352 nucleotides long. RefSeq lists it as uncharacterized. Lineage: Eukaryota; Metazoa; Chordata; Actinopteri; Perciformes; Percidae. The transcript is spliced from 3 exons. The record is from RefSeq and is a predicted model, not a curated record.
ACGACCGAGAGAUUGGAAGAGAUGUCUGAGGUCUGCAGGAAAUGAGGAUGGAGGGAGGAGCAAGGAAGGAAACACAAGUGAGGAGGAGAGAGGCAAUGAUUGCCAGCCAGCAUGAAGCCGGUGUUUGGUGAAGCGAGGGAAAAGCAUGAGUACUCAACCAUGUGUGAUUGAGCAACUGGUCAAUAAAGAGAAAGAUGCUGUUGAAAACACUCCCCAAGGCCCGUUCGAGAUGAGCCGGGUCUGCGCAGAAUCGAUCACCGGCGAUCACCGCGCGCCCAAUGCGUGCCGGUUAGAUUUGCAUCCGACUUGAUCUCGACUUGCUCUGACGUCACGCACACGUGGGCAACGAUAA